Molecule: ribosomal RNA, 475 nt
Filed under: Escherichia coli
Lineage: Bacteria; Pseudomonadati; Pseudomonadota; Gammaproteobacteria; Enterobacterales; Enterobacteriaceae
Description: partial 23S ribosomal RNA
Rfam family: Bacterial large subunit ribosomal RNA
Source: RNAcentral
CUCACCGGAGGUAGAGCUACUGGAUGGUCUAGGGGGCCCAGAAGCUUACCGAUAUCAGCCAAACUCCGAAUGCCGGUGAGUGAGAGCGCGGCAGUGAGACUGCGGGCGAUAAUGUUCGUAGUCGAGAGGGAAACAGCCCAGAUCGCCAGCUAAGGUCCCUAAGCGUGUACUAAGUGGAAAAGGAUGUGGGGUCGCGAAGACAACCAGGAGGUUGGCUUAGAAGCAGCCACCCUUGAAACAGUGCGUAAUAGCUCACUGGUCAAGUGAUCCUGCGCCGACAAUGUAGCGGGGCUCAAGUACACCACCGAAGCUGCGGCAUUCACACAAUGCACCCGCUUGAUUCUGCGGAGUCUUGGGCAGUGGUGUGGAUGGGUAGGGGAGCGUCGUGUGGCCAUGGAAGCGGCAGGGUGACCUAGCCGUGGAGGCCACACGAGUGAGAAUGCAGGCAUGAGUAGCGAAAGACGAGUGAGAAACU